RNAcentral lists this long non-coding RNA (1827 nucleotides) under Mus musculus (house mouse). Its description in RNAcentral is "RIKEN cDNA 2700089I24 gene". Lineage: Eukaryota; Metazoa; Chordata; Mammalia; Rodentia; Muridae. The record is from RNAcentral.
AGAGUGUAAACAGCUCAGAUGAGAGUCUGCCUAUUAGGCACUUAAAACAAUAUUGAGACUGAAGAUCUUGUGCCUUUCUUCCAACACAAUUCAUUGAUUCUGCAGUGGAAGUGAUUUUAUUGAUUAGGUAGUCUUUCCUUCUCAAGUCAAGGGAGACAAGCUCAAGGAAGAGAUAAAGUCAAGCAAGCUUGACCCACACUCCUGUGCUUCACAGGGACCCCUGGCCUCAGGCUAGUGCCACCAUCUUCAGGGUGGGUCUCUCAGCUUCAACUAAACCCCCAUGUUGACAUACCCAGAAGCAUGUCUCCCAGGAGAUUUUAAAUCUAGGCAGUGCCUAGAAGGUCUGGAUCAUGGCUGCAUCUUCGUAGCUGUGUUUUCAAAUGAUACAUCAGCAUGCUCCCAUCUCAUGGCAUCACCAGAACCAGCACCAUCCUUCAUGAUCCUCAUACUUCCUGGUUUAGAAGAUCAAAAGCUGCCAAAAAUUGUUUCAAAAGAAAAAUAAAUCUGAGAGAAGUUGAGUUCGGAAUUACAAGGGAGCUUGCCUGUGUCCACUACUCAAGGAGCCAAGUAAGAGGGGCUUGCACUGCAGAGCUGGCCUCUCUUCUCUGUUCCCCGAGCACCUAAGAAGCCCUCACUUAGCCUUAUCUCAUGAAGUCUAAUGAGACUAGUUCCCAAAUUAAACUUCACACAAAUGGAGCAGGCAGGAUCAUUUUCCAAAGAGUGUUUAGAAUAAAUGUCUGUCAGUUCCUGGCUAGCCCUACUUAAAUCUGGAAGAUGAGUUUGCAGACUUAAGAGCUUUGAAUGAAGAACUCAGGCUUCCUUUGGGAUCUAAACUCUGUCUCUCUGAGUCAUUGUUUCUCUCUCUCUCUUACACACACACACACACACACACACACACACACACACAGAGGUACACACACAGACACACACAUACACAAACACACACAUACACAAACACACACAUACACAGACACACACAUACACAGAGAGAGACACACAGAGAGACACACACACACAUACCUAUCACAGGUACCUUUCAGUAUUUCCAUUUUACCUGUUAAGGGUCUGACCAAGGCCAGUGACGCUUCCUAUCUUGACCUGGGAUGGUCACCGGAUUGGGAUCCUUGUCCCUUCAUGUUUCUUGUAGACAUUGAAUUUUGAAGAAGAAUCAGGUCUUAGGAACUAAAGGUAAGACCCUCAUGGGUAGAGAUUGGGCAACUGCUUGAAGACAGAAAUCUAAGAAGGAGGAGAAGAUUCAACACCUCCCAAGAUGUCCUGGGAUGAAGAUGAGAUUGGGUAGAGAACUUCAAGUACAUGGUCCCCACGUCCUAAUGCCUUGGGACUCACUAUUGGAGGUAGAUCUUCCUCCAACCACUAAUUCAGCUGUCUGUAAGAUUCCACACAAAAAAUUAGAUACUAAUAGUUAGAAAAUGCCCAGCAAAACAGUUUAGUGGCAGAAAAAUUAGAAAAUAAUGUCAUAAAUGAAGAAAAAUUAGCAUCAUCUAUAAACCUCUUCCAGUCUGAGAACACAGGGGCAACAUUCAAUAUCAUAUUAAAUUGUGGGUGUGCUCUGAUAUUACAUAUGACAUGCUAGUCAUAUAUACAAAAGCAUGUGUGUGUGUAUGUGCACAGUACAAGCUAUUGCAUGUAUUGAUAAGCCCCACCUUAUGAAAUGUCAGCCUCUGAUUCUUUGAGCUUUCUUUAUAUUGAUGCAAAAGCAGUGACUGUUUGGUGGAAACUCCCAUUCAGUUUUGAAUUUGGACUUUUUUUCUUGGCUGUACUAUAAUAAUCAAAAUUCAACCACUAAUACUAAUUAGUAAUUCCUCC